RNAcentral lists this ribosomal RNA (565 nucleotides) under uncultured eukaryote. RNAcentral's name for it is "SSU rRNA". It matches the Rfam family "Eukaryotic small subunit ribosomal RNA", at positions 4 to 565 of the family's 1831-position model. The record is from RNAcentral.
CUGGUUGAUCCUGCCAGUAGUCAUAUGCUUGUCUCAAAGAUUAAGCCAUGCAUGUCUAAGUAUAAACAACUUUAUACUGUGAAACUGCGAACGGCUCAUUAUAUCAGCAAUAAUUUAUUUGAUGGUUCCUUACUACACGGAUAACUGUAGUAAUUCUAGAGCUAAUACGUGCGUAAAGUCCCGACUCUUGCGGGGAGGGAUGUAUUUAUUAGAUAAAAACCAAUGCGGGUUCUGCCCGGUUUUGUGGUGAAUCAUAGUAACUUUUCGAAUCGCAUGGCUUCACGCCGGCGAUAGUUCAUUCAAAUUUCUGCCCUAUCAGCUUUCGACGGUAGUGUAGUGGACUACCGUGGCGUUAACGGGUAACGGAGAAUUAGGGUUCGAUUCCGGAGAGGGAGCCUGAGAAACGGCUACCACAUCCAAGGAAGGCAGCAGGCGCGCAAAUUACCCAAUCCUGACACAGAGAGGUAGUGACAAUAAAUAACAAUUCUGGAUCUCACAAGAUUUGGUAAUUGGAAUGAGAACAAUUUAAACCCCUUAACGAAAGCCAUUGGAGGGCAAGUCUGGU